GAACAUCAAAGUUCUCAAGUUGUUUCAAGAUGUAUGGAGUGUAUACAAAUCACCAUAUACGAGUCAAUUACAUCAAUAAAUUCAAAUAUUUUCACUCAUAAUUCUUACUGAAAUUCUUAUUGAACAAGAGUGAGAGACAUUUGAAUAAACUGUGUGUUUGAAUAGCACUAUGAAGAUUGUAUUAUAUAGUGAGAUUUACAAUUUAUUGAAUUAAUUACAUAGAGAAUAUGAUACGAUAUAUUCUAUUACAUACGAAAUAUGCUAUGAUAUAUUCU
RNAcentral lists this long non-coding RNA (275 nucleotides) under Lathyrus oleraceus (garden pea). RNAcentral's name for it is "Pisum sativum (pea) long non-coding RNA (PSAT_LNC017635)". The record is from RNAcentral. Lineage: Eukaryota; Viridiplantae; Streptophyta; Magnoliopsida; Fabales; Fabaceae.